GUUUCUGUUUAUUUUGCAUAUUAAGCAUCGAACCUACUCGUACACAUUUUUGAUUAAAGUAUUGUGCACUUGUAAAAAGUUGUGUCAAGUUUGACUGUAUGCGACACUCUUUUCUGGAAACUGCAAAUGGCUGACAGGGUUAACACUGACGCUCAAUACCGCCGCUUUCCCUGCUCCGACGCGUUGAAGAGCUGUGUUUUUUGCCGGACCGUUUUCUUGAUUGGUACAAAUACUUGCUGUAGUGAAUAGCACUCAUGCUAUGUGACUGAGGCAUUAAUCUGUUUUCAUCAAUCUCAAGGCAGGCUGUCAGGGCAUCCGAUUCAUAAACCAGCAAUUUUUGGGGACCACGUUUUGCUUCGACGACGGCAGGGCCCGUGGCUGAAACGGGGUACCACAACAAUGAAUACUGGUUGCACUUGGAGCUGUCGUGGCGUGAGCACACUUGAGGGUCAGGAUAUUGCAUGUGAGGCAGACAGUUCAGGACGAGAGAUGGCUAUUGUCACUGACACUCUACCACGUUUCUGCAGGUCAUGCGACUGCUUCCGAUGCUUCCGUCUGCGAUAGCUACCGCAAAACACAUGGCUACAGCGGAUUUUACGGUGAAGACAUAUACAAGUGCGUGUUCCUCUAGACAAGAAACACUGGACGGGAGAUAAUGGCGAUAUAAAGUGGCCGCCGAUACAAA
This 685-nucleotide long non-coding RNA is filed under the name Dermacentor andersoni. RNAcentral describes it as "uncharacterized LOC126543998". Lineage: Eukaryota; Metazoa; Arthropoda; Arachnida; Ixodida; Ixodidae. The record is from RNAcentral.